RNAcentral lists this ribosomal RNA (253 nucleotides) under uncultured bacterium. Its description in RNAcentral is "partial 16S ribosomal RNA". It matches the Rfam family "Bacterial small subunit ribosomal RNA", at positions 524 to 776 of the family's 1533-position model. The record is from RNAcentral.
UACGUAGGGGGCAAGCGUUGUCCGGAUUUAUUGGGCGUAAAGAGCGUGUAGGCGGCUAGGUAGGUCCGUUGUGAAAACUCGAGGCUCAACCUCGAGCUGUCGAUGGAAACCAUCUGGCUAGAGUCCGGAAGAGGAGAGUGGAAUUCCUGGUGUAGCGGUGAAAUGCGCAGAUAUCAGGAAGAACACCCGUGGCGAAGGCGGCUCUCUGGUAAGUGACUGACGCUGAGACGCGAAAGCGUGGGGAGCGAACAGG